This 233-nucleotide ribosomal RNA is filed under the name uncultured bacterium. Its description in RNAcentral is "partial 16S ribosomal RNA". It matches the Rfam family "Bacterial small subunit ribosomal RNA", at positions 794 to 1025 of the family's 1533-position model. The record is from RNAcentral.
UCCACGCCCUAAACGAUGUCAACUAGCUGUUGGGGGAAAUUAAUCCCUUAGUGGCGAAGCUAACGUGGUAAGUUGACCGCCUGGGGAGUACGGCCGCAAGGUUAAAACUCAAAUGAAUUGACGGGGGCCCGCACAAGCGGUGGAGCAUGUGGUUUAAUUCGAUGCAACGCGAAGAACCUUACCUGGUCUUGACAUGCCAAGAAUCUCACAGAGACGUGAGAGUGCCUUCGGGA